Molecule: unclassified non-coding RNA, 23 nt
Filed under: Mus musculus (house mouse)
Lineage: Eukaryota; Metazoa; Chordata; Mammalia; Rodentia; Muridae
Description: oocyte_clustered_small_RNA355
Source: RNAcentral
UAAGAGCACUGGCUGUUGCUGAG